UACGAAGGGGGGCUAGCGUUGCUCGGAAUCACUGGGCGUAAAGGGUGCGUAGGCGGGUCUUUAAGUCAGGGGUGAAAUCCUGGAGCUCAACUCCAGAACUGCCUUUGAUACUGAGGAUCUUGAGUUCGGGAGAGGUGAGUGGAACUGCGAGUGUAGAGGUGAAAUUCGUAGAUAUUCGCAAGAACACCAGUGGCGAAGGCGGCUCACUGGCCCGAUACUGACGCUGAGGCACGAAAGUGUGGGGAUCAAACAGGG
RNAcentral lists this ribosomal RNA (255 nucleotides) under uncultured bacterium. Its description in RNAcentral is "partial 16S ribosomal RNA". It matches the Rfam family "Bacterial small subunit ribosomal RNA", at positions 524 to 777 of the family's 1533-position model. The record is from RNAcentral.